GGUGUUGUUGUGACUGCUAACAUCGAAGGCCAGAGGCGAGAAGUUUUCAAAACAAGACAUCUGGUUAGACUUACGCAAAAGCUAUCAUUUAUCCUGGUUCUGAAAGUCUCCUACCUGUUUGUCCACCUGAGGUGUUCACCUGAUUGGCUUCUUUCAAGUAACAAGAGUUUUCUGUUCUGUCAUUGUCUGAAAACAGAAAGAAUAAAAGUGUCAGCUGAAACAUGGUGUUGCAUUUUCUUCAUUUGCUUUGCGCUUCUUCUACUAGAUUUGUUUUUUACUUGUAUGAUUCUUAAUGUCUUUUUUGGCGGUUUUGUUUGAACCUUCCUUCUAAAUACUAUCCUGAAGUUGCUUUGCUAGUUCAGUUUGGAAAUUAUUCUUCAUGCAUUCGCCACAUGGUGGCGAUAAUGGCUUAUGAUGACAGUGUAUUUUGAUUUAUGAAACGUUCCUUCCCUCUAUACUGUAAGGGACAAUUAAUCAGCUUCUCACCUGGAUGACGCCCCUUCAUUAUGCCUGCUGAUACUUACCUACUUCCUGUUGUCAGAGUCUACAGCAGGAAGUGAGCUCAGCAGACAGGGUGUGUGGGGGGCAAGACUUGAAGUAUUACUGUGUGGAAUUCCCCAUUUCCCAAGUGUGAGGAAUUCCAGAUCAGCGCACACUCCAGGCAGAAUCAGGGAUGGAGGAAAACGUACAGAAACUCCACCUGAAGCUAUUCCAAUCAGCGGUUAGUAGGAAUGAAGAAAUAUGUUUUUCUGAUUCAGCUGUCUGACUGAAGUGUCCAGUCAUGACUGCGCAAACAACAGUGUCAGCAAGAUCAUGUUGGGAACAGAAAUCAUUUUGAUCCCAUUUAAUAAUGGGACAGUUGCAGCUGUCCUGCUUGUUGCACAUCGGUGUUUAACUGUGCAAACGUCAGCUCUUUAACAUCUCUGUGUUCACUAGAAGAUGUUUCAGAAGGAUUUAUCAGACCCUUUUCCAUGACCCAUGAUCUUAGACUAUUCUGGUUUUGUGCAAUUUAGGACAUAAAUACUGUAAGAAAAAAUAAUUUCUUUGUAAAUAUCAGUGAAACUUACUAGAAGUUUCUACACUCUUAAAAAUAAACAUGCUUAAAAGCUUCUUCA
Long non-coding RNA from Cyprinus carpio (common carp), 1115 nucleotides. The record is from Ensembl. Lineage: Eukaryota; Metazoa; Chordata; Actinopteri; Cypriniformes; Cyprinidae.